RNAcentral lists this ribosomal RNA (254 nucleotides) under uncultured bacterium. RNAcentral describes it as "partial 16S ribosomal RNA". It matches the Rfam family "Bacterial small subunit ribosomal RNA", at positions 524 to 777 of the family's 1533-position model. The record is from RNAcentral.
UACGGGGGGGGCUAGCGUUGCUCGGAAUCACUGGGCGUAAAGCGCACGUAGGCGGAUUGCUAAGUCAGGGGUGAAAUCCUGGAGCUCAACUCCAGAACUGCCUUUGAUACUGGCGAUCUUGAGUCCGGGAGAGGUGAGUGGAACUGCGAGUGUAGAGGUGAAAUUCGUAGAUAUUCGCAAGAACACCAGUGGCGAAGGCGGCUCACUGGCCCGGUACUGACGCUGAGGUGCGAAAGCGUGGGGAGCAAACAGGG